RNAcentral lists this ribosomal RNA (981 nucleotides) under uncultured Bacteroides sp. RNAcentral describes it as "bacterial SSU rRNA". It matches the Rfam family "Bacterial small subunit ribosomal RNA", at positions 138 to 1123 of the family's 1533-position model. The record is from RNAcentral. Lineage: Bacteria; Pseudomonadati; Bacteroidota; Bacteroidia; Bacteroidales; Bacteroidaceae.
CUUGGCCAGCCUUCUGAAAGGAAGAUUAAUACAAGAUGGCAUCAUGAGUCCGCAUGUUCACAUGAUUAAAGGUAUUCCGGUAGACGAUGGGGAUGCGUUCCAUUAGAUAGUAGGCGGGGUAACGGCCCACCUAGUCUUCGAUGGAUAGGGGUUCUGAGAGGAAGGUCCCCCACAUUGGAACUGAGACACGGUCCAAACUCCUACGGGAGGCAGCAGUGAGGAAUAUUGGUCAAUGGGCGAGAGCCUGAACCAGCCAAGUAGCGUGAAGGAUGACUGCCCUAUGGGUUGUAAACUUCUUUUAUAAAGGAAUAAAGUCGGGUAUGGAUACCCGUUUGCAUGUACUUUAUGAAUAAGGAUCGGCUAACUCCGUGCCAGCAGCCGCGGUAAUACGGAGGAUCCGAGCGUUAUCCGGAUUUAUUGGGUUUAAAGGGAGCGUAGAUGGAUGUUUAAGUCAGUUGUGAAAGUUUGCGGCUCAACCGUAAAAUUGCAGUUGAUACUGGAUAUCUUGAGUGCAGUUGAGGCAGGCGGAAUUCGUGGUGUAGCGGUGAAAUGCUUAGAUAUCACGAAGAACUCCGAUUGCGAAGGCAGCCUGCUAAGCUGCAACUGACAUUGAGGCCCGAAAGUGUGGGUAUCAAACAGGAUUAGAUACCCUGGUAGUCCACACGGUAAACGAUGAAUACUCGCUGUUUGCGAUAUACUGCAAGCGGCCAAGCGAAAGCGUUAAGUAUUCCACCUGGGGAGUACGCCGGCAACGGUGAAACUCAAAGGAAUUGACGGGGGCCCGCACAAGCGGAGGAACAUGUGGUUUAAUUCGAUGAUACGCGAGGAACCUUACCCGGGCUUAAAUUGCAGAUGAAUUACGGUGAAAGCCGUAAGCCGCAAGGCAUCUGUGAAGGUGCUGCAUGGUUGUCGUCAGCUCGUGCCGUGAGGUGUCGGCUUAAGUGCCAUAACGAGCGCAACCCUUGUUGUCAGUUACUAACA